CAGUAGCCACGGGAAUACAGAGGGUGCGAGCGUUAAUCGGAUUUACUGGGCGUAAAGCGCACGUAGGCGGACUUUUAAGUCAGGGGUGAAAUCCCGGGGCUCAACCUCGGAACUGCCUUUGAUACUGGAAGUCUUGAGUAUGGAAGAGGUUAGUGGAAUUGCGAGUGUAGAGGUGAAAUUCGUAGAUAUUCGCAGGAACACCAGUGGCGAAGGCGGCUAACUGGUCCAUAACUGACGCUGAGGUGCGAAAGCGUGGGGAGCAAACAGGAUUAGAUACCCGAGUAGUCCCUGUCUCUUAUAC
RNAcentral lists this ribosomal RNA (301 nucleotides) under uncultured bacterium. Its description in RNAcentral is "partial 16S ribosomal RNA". It matches the Rfam family "Bacterial small subunit ribosomal RNA", at positions 509 to 807 of the family's 1533-position model. The record is from RNAcentral.